Molecule: ribosomal RNA, 476 nt
Filed under: Pleospora sp. FL-2010a
Lineage: Eukaryota; Fungi; Ascomycota; Dothideomycetes; Pleosporales; Pleosporaceae
Description: eukaryotic LSU rRNA
Rfam family: 5.8S ribosomal RNA (bases 105-258)
Source: RNAcentral
AUUUGCGCACUUCUUGUUUCCUGGGCGGGUUCGCCCGCCACCAGGACCAAACCAUAAACCUUUUUGUAAUUGCAAUCAGCGUCAGUAAACAAUGUAAUUAUUACAACUUUCAACAACGGAUCUCUUGGUUCUGGCAUCGAUGAAGAACGCAGCGAAAUGCGAUACGUAGUGUGAAUUGCAGAAUUCAGUGAAUCAUCGAAUCUUUGAACGCACAUUGCGCCCUUUGGUAUUCCAAAGGGCAUGCCUGUUCGAGCGUCAUUUGUACCCUCAAGCUUUGCUUGGUGUUGGGCGUCUUUGUCUCUCACGAGACUCGCCUUAAAAUGAUUGGCAGCCGACCUACUGGUUUCGGAGCGCAGCACAAUUCUUGCACUUUGAAUCAGCCUUGGUUGAGCAUCCAUCAAGACCACAUUUUUUUCAACUUUUGACCUCGGAUCAGGUAGGGAUACCCGCUGAACUUAAGCAUAUCAAUAAGCGGA